This 712-nucleotide long non-coding RNA is filed under the name Taeniopygia guttata (zebra finch). RNAcentral describes it as "lncRNA (ENSTGUG00000021031.1)". The record is from RNAcentral. Lineage: Eukaryota; Metazoa; Chordata; Aves; Passeriformes; Estrildidae.
UGCCACCUGCCUUGAAAAUAAGUAUUUGACCAUUGUCAGCCUGUAACUUGAGCAAGAAAUGGUUUGGGAAGGAAAGUUUAGGGUAUGUUUUUAAAUUCUGGGUUUUUUUUCAAAUGCACCACUCUCUUUCCCACAGGGUCCUCCAGGAAUCCAGGGGCCUAAAGUAAGUCAAUAAAUUAAAUGUCACCCAGUUUCCCAGCUGCUAGUGCAUUAUUUACAGGCUCACAAAGGCCUGUCAGCUCUGGAGACUGAGGUUUUUGUCACUGUUGUCACAGCACAUCCCUUGGUUACGCUGUUCAGCAGUUGGCAUUUUGGAAAACAAGCCAUUUCUCCUUCCAAGCAUUUACAAUCCAAACCUCUCCUCCAGCAGAGAGUCCAGAGGGCUGGUGAGAACCAGAGUUUCCAAACCAAAAGGCUUAAAACCUGUAUUUUCAGCUAUUUUCUUACAUGGUCAAGAGCAAAACAUCACCAGCAGUGUGGGUGUGAGCACCCCAGAGAAGGGGUAGGAGGGGGUGGGUGCAUGAGGGGCUGCCCUGGGCAGAGCUGCCAGGGCUCCUUGGCUGAUCCAUUUCAUUUCUGCAGGGUUUGGAUGGUGCAAAGGGAGAGAAAGGUGACAGUGGUGAGAAGGGGGACCAAGGUGACACCGGACCUGCUGGUCUCCCAGGUGCUCCAGGGCUCAUUGGUUUACCUGGUACCAAAGGAGAAAAGGUAA